Molecule: ribosomal RNA, 610 nt
Filed under: uncultured Acidobacteriota bacterium
Lineage: Bacteria; Pseudomonadati; Acidobacteriota
Description: bacterial SSU rRNA
Rfam family: Bacterial small subunit ribosomal RNA
Source: RNAcentral
CGUUAAGUCCUGCGCCUAGGGAGUACGGUCGCAAGACUGAAACUCAAAGGAAUUGACGGGGGCCCGCACAAGCGGUGGAACAUGUGGUUCAAUUCGACGCUACGCGAGGAACCUUACCUGGGCUCGAAAUGCUGGUGACCAGCUGUAGAAAUACGGCCUUCCCGCAAGGGACACCAGUAUAGGCGCUGCAUGGCUGUCGUCAGCUCGUGCCGUGAGGUGUUGGGUUAAGUCCCGCAACGAGCGCAACCCUUACACGUAGUUGCCACCCGCAAGGGGGAACUCUACGUGGACUGCUCCGGAUAACGGAGAGGAAGGUGGGGAUGACGUCAAGUCCGCAUGGCCUUUAUGUCCAGGGCUACACACGUGUUACAAUGCGCGGUACAAACCGUUGCCAACCCGCGAGGGGGAGCUAAUCGGAAAAAACCGCGCUCAGUUCGGAUUGCAGUCUGCAAUUUGACUGCAUGAAGCCGGAAUCGCUAGUAAUGGCGUAUCAGAUCGACGCCGUGAAUACGUUCCCGGGCCUUGUACACACCGCCCGUCACAUCACCAAAGUGAGCUGUACUAGAAGUCGCCGAGCUAACCGCAAGGAGGCAGGCGCCCAAGGUAUGAC